UACGGAGGAUGCAAGCGUUAUCCGGAAUCAUUGGGCGUAAAGCGUCCGCAGGUGGUGAUGCAAGUCUAUUGUCAAAGAGCGAGGCUCAACCUCGAGACGUCGGUUGAAACCACCUGGCUAGAGUCCGGAAGAGGAGAGUGGAAUUCCUGGUGUAGCGGUGAAAUGCGCAGAUAUCAGGAAGAACACCCGUGGCGAAGGCGGCUCUCUGGGACGGUACUGACGCUGAGACGCGAAAGCGUGGGGAGCGAACAGG
This 253-nucleotide ribosomal RNA is filed under the name uncultured bacterium. RNAcentral's name for it is "partial 16S ribosomal RNA". It matches the Rfam family "Bacterial small subunit ribosomal RNA", at positions 524 to 776 of the family's 1533-position model. The record is from RNAcentral.